CGGCGCGUAGCGCAGCCCGGGUAGCGCACCACUUUGGGGUAGUGGGGGUCGCUGGUUCGAAUCCAGUCGCGCCGA
Molecule: transfer RNA, 75 nt
Filed under: Ignavibacteria bacterium
Lineage: Bacteria; Pseudomonadati; Ignavibacteriota; Ignavibacteria
Also listed under: 2 other names
Description: tRNA-Pro
Rfam family: tRNA
About the family: Transfer RNA (tRNA) molecules are approximately 80 nucleotides in length. Their secondary structure includes four short double-helical elements and three loops (D, anti-codon, and T loops).
Source: RNAcentral